CGCAUCACAAGUAAUUGAAAUACCUUCGGAUUCCAGUCUGGCUGAUACCGUUGAAACUCUUUCCAAACACAAGAUCCUCAGUGCACCUGUUCGGAAUGUUGAUGCACCAGAAGAUUCCAGUUGGAUUGACAGAUACAUUGGCAUUGUAGAAUUUCCCGGAAUUGCUGUGUGGCUUCUGCAUCAGACCGAUGUUGCAUCUGGUUUAGGCAGUGCUG
RNAcentral lists this unclassified non-coding RNA (215 nucleotides) under Hevea brasiliensis (rubber tree). Lineage: Eukaryota; Viridiplantae; Streptophyta; Magnoliopsida; Malpighiales; Euphorbiaceae. The record is from RNAcentral.